RNAcentral lists this ribosomal RNA (837 nucleotides) under uncultured Rubrobacterales bacterium. Its description in RNAcentral is "bacterial SSU rRNA". It matches the Rfam family "Bacterial small subunit ribosomal RNA", at positions 61 to 883 of the family's 1533-position model. Lineage: Bacteria; Bacillati; Actinomycetota; Rubrobacteria; Rubrobacterales. The record is from RNAcentral.
GUCGAGCGAGAACCUAGGCUUCGGCUUAGGGGACAGCGGCGAACGGGUGAGUAACACGUGGGUAAUCUGCCCUCGACAUCGGGAUAGCCCGGGGAAACCCGGAUUAAUACCGAAUAGCCCAUCCGCUUUUCGGAGCGGCUGGAAAAGGUAGCUUUGGCCUCCGGUCGAGGAGGAGCCCGCGGCGGAUUAGCUUGUUGGUGAGGUAAUGGCCCACCAAGGCGACGAUCCGUAGCUGGUCUGAGAGGACGAUCAGCCACACUGGGACUGAGACACGGCCCAGACUCCUACGGGAGGCAGCAGUGGGGAAUCUUGCGCAAUGGGCGAAAGCCUGACGCAGCGACGCCGCGUGCGGGAAGAAGGCCUUCGGGUUGUAAACCGCUUUCAGGAGGGACGAAGCCACUCAGGUUAAUAGCCGAGAGGGUGACGGUACCUCCAGAAGAAGCCCCGGCUAACUACGUGCCAGCAGCCGCGGUAAUACGUAGGGGGCAAGCGUUGUCCGGAUUUAUUGGGCGUAAAGAGCGUGUAGGCGGCCAGAUAGGUCUGCUGUGAAAACUCGAGGCUCAACCUCGAGCUGUCGGCGGAAACCAUUUGGCUAGAGUCCGGAAGAGGAAAGCGGAAUUCCUGGUGUAGCGGUGAAAUGCGCAGAUAUCAGGAAGAACACCCGUGGCGAAGGCGGCUUUCUGGGACGGUACUGACGCUGAGACGCGAAAGCGUGGGGAGCGAACAGGAUUAGAUACCCUGGUAGUCCACGCUGUAAACGAUGGGUGCUAGGUGUGGGCGGUGUCGACUCCGUCCGUGCCGAAGCUAACGCAUUAAGCACCCCGCCUGGGGGAGUAC